AGAAACUUCCAGGAAUGGAUCCGUUUAGAAGAUUGUGAGAAAGAUCUCUGCAAAAAUUGUAUAAGCAUGCAUAUAAACUAAAACUGCAAGUCUGUGCAAUCAGAAUGAUCAAAAAAGAUAGCUUGGUCGCCAAAUGCUUAGUAAAAUUGAAUAAACAAAAGAUAACACAAGUUGUUAGUAAAGGAUCUAUUAUUAUACAUCGUGCUUAUGUUGCUUGCUGGUCGGCCAGAUGGUAAACCCCUCAACUGAUUCCAACUAAGAUCUCUGAACAUAAAUAAGGCAAGGAUCAGAGCUGCCACACACAAAUUUGUUUCUGCUAACUACGGAAAUAGAAUUUUCUGCUCCUGAGAAAGUGAGGUUGCAGUCUUGAAAUUCGUCACAUACAAAUAGCCAAGUUGGGCUAUUCCACUGACAUCAGGGACAGGUCCUUCCAAGCUGCAGUUCCUCAAACUCCUGAUGAAGACCAUAUGAAAUAGAUUUAGCCUCUAAGUUUCAUAAUUACCGAGUGUAGAUUCUGUAGAAGUCUGAGUUAAACCUAUAUUCUUGAUAUAGAACUUCACCACUUGAUUUGCAAGACAUUCAAAACGCAACCCUCCUAAAAUUCAUUUCAGCACUACAGUAAGAGGUGGAAUUGCAGACAGCAGUAAGAAAUACUUACAAUUUCAAAAGUGUGGUGAUAUUGGCAUAAGAUGAAGGAAUUGAGGUUCCUGAGAAAUUAUUGUUGUCAAGCUGGCUGAAAUUGUUUUGAACAGAUAUAAUUAGAAAGGGCUUUAUAUGUGUCGACGUUUGAUGUCGCGAUUCCGGUAUUUGCAUAGUAUGGGGAUCGUUGGUACUAGAAUAUAUAUGCGAGAUUGUAGUAAAAGAGACAGAGGCGAGGAUUUUUAUACAGGUUCGGGCCCCUGAAUUGUCAGGUAAUAACCCUACAUCCUGUUGGCCGAAGCCGGUCGUUGCUCUUAUUCAUCAUAAUUACACCAGUAUAAUAUUUGGGAUAGCCUAUCUAACUGUUGUCGACAUGACGGUCUGAAGGUCUGACUCGUAGUCGACAACAGGGUAGCCUUCCUCCUCGAAUCCGCAUCCGGUGAGAUCAGAGACAGCGCUAUAUCUCUCCUGACGGUAUCCGUAGGCACCGUAGGGGACUAGCCAUGCCUAUCUCUGAAGUCGAUAUCCGGCGUCUUGUCUUGGCGUAUCUUAGCUUGUAUGUUGUGGCUUCUGUUUUGAUCUAUUGUUCUGUGUAUGUUGAUUGUCUCUCCUCUCCUCCUAGGGGGCCUUGUAUUUAUACCCAUAGGUGUCCCCUUGUCCAAGUAGAACUAGGGAAAUCAAUAUGGAUACAAUCCGAGUAGUCCUUGUCGUUUCCAUAUAGAACUCUGGUUGUCUUUCCUUAUCCGGAACUCCCUCCAUAUCCGAAGUCAGUUCCCGUAUAAGACAUGGUAUGUGGUGGGUCCUGCCGAGAUUUAGUCAACUACUAUUAGGUAUGUGGUAUCCAUAACCCUGACAGUAGCCCCGACUUCAAUGCAAAUGAACAAAUUCAUAUUCUCAACCGCAGACCUUGGAAUAAUUGCUAUCAAGCUCACGUGACCCGUUCUCGGUGAGUUCAGAGAUAACGUUAGACUUCCCUUAUCAGCCUCAAGCGGGCACCUAUAGGGUUUGUUUGAGUCAAUCUCCGACGUCAACCAAGAAGGUACAGAGCAUACGACUAAGUCUCCCGUCUUGCUGUAAUCGAGAAUUUGGAUUGAAGUCAAGAAAUUUUAUCUCGGCGGGUACACCAUCUUUUCAUUCCGUAUUCCUUGUCGAGAUCCACGAACCGUUCUCGAGCGAUCAAGAAGGCGCAAAGACUGCGACGAUGCCUUGUCAACAUUUGUCGUACUCGCCUUAGUCGAUCUUGGUGUAGAACCAUAGAGACAUGGAGUUCUCGAUAAUGUCAAAUAGAAUUUUCCUGAAAUCAAUACUCAGAAAAGAAUAUUAGAUAGAAAUAGCCUCCGAGCGAACGCUCAAAGGGUGACAUGUUAUAAUAUGUAUGGAAAACUAAAAAUAAAUUAAAUUUAUAAACCAAUGUUUUGUGUAUGAGUGUCUUCUCUUUUACCGACUUUGAUCAGUCAGUUUGUUGAGUCAUACACUCUCCCUAGCCCCCAGCCUUGUUGUCGGAGAAUUGUUCUCGGAGAAUAAGGCUCUUGGACCCUUGACCUGCCUUGGUUGAAAAAGCACUGACCCUAGCCCCCAGCCGUGAAGUUGGAAAACUCAAUUUCCGAUUACACAGCUUGGUUAAUACGCACGGCGAGAACUCUUACAUGACCAGAUCUUACAUGGUCGUUUGUCUCUACAUGAUCCGACAAGGCCUUAUCCGCUCUGGGCGUCCCCAGCCAAAGUUCCUUUAGGUUCCUCAGAGGCCUUGUCAGGACAGCGUAAAGGGAUAUGAGGAUAGGUUUCAACUCUAGGUGUCGUCGUGGUAAGGGAUCUCUGGGUAAAACAGUUGGCAAUAUUGUGUACCUGAUAUCAACUUUGUUGGAGUAGAGGUAAUGGGAGGAUUGCUACACCGCUGGUCGAAAACCAGUUGUAGCCCCAACUCGACCACUUAAAGUAAAGGUAGUGGGAGAAUAGCUACACCACUGGUCGAGGACCGGGUAGUAGUCGUAACAUGACCACUUGAAGUGGAACUAGUGGGAGAAUCGCUACACCGCUGGUUGAGACCCAAGUGUAGCCUUAACUCGACCACCUAAAGUGGAAGUAGUGGGCGAAUCGCUACACCGCUGGUCGAGGACCAGGUAGUAGUCGUAACUCGACCACUUAAAGUGGAAAUAGUGGGAGAAUUGCUACACUGCUGGUCGAGGACCAGGUAGUAGUCGUAACUCAACCACUAGAAGUAAAUGUAUGAGAGAUCGCUACGGUUGACUGGUUGAGAACCAGUGAGUAGGUGUCUCUCGACCAUUUGAAGUUGGUACGAGGGCCGCUAUGCUGCCGGUCAAAGACCAGUCGUAGCUGUCCCUCAACCAUCUGAAGUCAUCUGAAGUCGUGGUGCGAGGACCACUAUGCUAUUGGCGUAGUCGUAACUCGACUAUCUGAAGUUAAGGCGCGAGAGAUUGCUACGAUUUACUGGUUCGAGAACCAGCAAGUAGAAUUAUCUCUUGAACGCCAAUGGAAGUUGCGGUGCGAGAGAUUGCUACGGUUUACUGGUUCGAGAACCAGCGAGCGAGUAGAAUUAUCUCUCGAACGCCAAUGGAAGUUGCGGUGCAAGAGAUUGCUACGGUUUACUGGUUCGAGAACCAGCGAGCGAGUAGAAUUAUCUCUCGAACGCCAAUAGAAGUUGCGGUGCGAGAGAUUGCUACGGUUUAUGUAACAUCCCGGGUAUUUAGCUAUAGUCUUAGUCAUGCUAAUGACUUGGUCACAUUGGCUGAGAGCGGUGUUGAUUGAGCCACGAUACUGGCUAGGACCUAUAAAUAUAUUGAUUGUUGUUUUAUUCUAGAUAUUAAAUGGUUUCUCGAUUGUUUCCUUAUCAUUUAUUUAUUUAGUCAUAUCCAUAUGCAUCAUUGAUUUAUUCUUAGUUAGACUAAACCUGGUGAGGAGUGGGAUAAUUUAGUUUUGGUUAAACUAUAGUGUAGAUUAGUCGCUACGAAGCGAGGUACACAUAUGCACAGUAGAAUCACAGUUCUUUAUUUACAGUUUACCACUACAGGUCUGCAUACAUACAUGCAUAUAAUUGUACACUAGAAAUUUUACAGUAUGCAUUCUAUAUAUUGUGCAUAUACAUGGUGAUUAUAGAUAUCAUAUCAUAAACUGAACCAUCUCAGUCAAAGAUUCAAUAAUUAUUUAUUUUUCAGAAAAACUCUUGAGUUCUAGGGCAAUUGCAUAUCAGUCCCUAAAUUCAUAGUAAUCUUAAAUUUUACUAACUUGUGGGACUCAAGUGCAAAAGCACUAAACAUGUCAGGCUUUACAAAAUUUCUACUGAUAGUAAAUAUAGCUUGAGAUUAUCACACCAAACCAGCUUUGUUGAGGUGGCAGCAAGCCCUUAUCCAACCGGCAUGCAAGCAGGUGAGUCACCUUCACAAAGGAAAAAAAUUAACCCAUAUAUCAACCCAGCUACUAGAGAACCAGUCUUGGUUAUAUCGGUUGGAAACCAAUCUCAAGCAGCAGCCAUAGUAAAAUACUCCUCAGUCGCAGGAACAACCAACCACAGAAUCAAGCAGUAGUAGCCAGCAGUUCGGUUGAAAAACCAGCUCAAAUUAGAGAGAAAUAGCAGAGAGAAGUAGCUAAUAGUCUAGCACCACAAUCACACCGUAUCUCAAUAGUAGCAGCCAUAGAACAAAAAUCGGUGAGAGAGAGUAAGAGGAGAAGCCACCAGCAGCAGCUCAAACAAGAUGGAGCAGAAAUCAAGCAAGAGGAUCAACUCCAGGAGGAGCAAGGGAAGUAGCAGAUCCAGAUACCAAUCAAGAUUUUCACAUACCUUACCGUAUAAAUCAUAGCAGCAAGAAGAUGCUGAAAUGAGACAUCAGAGAGACCAACCUGAAGAAGGAGCAAGUGGUGAUCUAGCAGUCCAGCUCAGGAAGAUGAAGGAAAUGCCCAAAUACCCUUAGUUUCUGGAGGAGCAGCUGGUGCCUGAGCAAGGAGGAGAAAUAUUCAAUUGUUCUAGUUCCAAUAAGGGAGUGAAGUUACAGUCCCAGCAGGAGAAGUGGUAGAACCAGAGAGGGAGAAACCACACAAUCUUCACAGCCACACCAGAGUCAUUAACAAGGUAAUCCUGAAAUAAGAAUGAUAGGGAAAUCACAUCAUGGCAUGAUUCUUGGUUGAUGCAUAUAUUAGUAUGUUUAGGAGUUGUGUGCAUGCACUUAGUUAUAUCCAUUAAACCUGAAAAAUGAACCUAAGUAGAUGGCAGCCAUGUUGAUCUGUGCAUAUACUAGUACUAGAUGUUGGGGUUAUAUUACUGAAUAUGCAUCCUUAGUUCAAUAAGGUAAAGUUUUUUUGAGUAGUUGGACAGGAUAAUAUCAUCCUAAAUUUAGUGGAUUCUCAGAAGGAUAAUUCAAGUACAGAUCGGUUAUCUCAUUUCAUAGUUAGCAACAAGAAUUAUUCCAGAUGAGUUAUAAAUGCAUUUCAGUUAAGGGUUUGCAUAUGUGCAUAGUUCUUGAAAUCAGGAUUCAUGAUAGACCCUAUAGUAGGAACCUUGAUUACAUAAACAAUUAGAACUAAUUAUAACCUGACUGAAUUUGACCUUAUGAAUAUAGCAGAAGUUCAGGAGGCACUGGUAUUUCAGAUUAAAAUAUAAAAGAUUAGGUAGCAGCAGGUUUUAGUAAAAAGAAUAGAAUUGAGCAAUUAAGGAUAGCAUGUGAAAUUAGUAGAUUAUGAAUCUGGGUUUGCAUAUGUAUCUAGUUCCUUACUACAAAAUUCAGAAAAGACAUCAUAGGAUGAAUCUGGAUGUACAUUUAAGCAUGUAUAGUGUUAAGUAAUAAUAGUUGUACUAAAUCGUAAAGACUUAACAGAACAUGCAAGUUUCUUUACCAGAUCAUUAUGUGCAGGAGAGUAAAUGUUAGAGCAUAGUCUCAUAAUAAAACCAUUAUAAAUAAUAGUUGACCAGUAGUCUAAUUUAUCAACAACUCUAAUCUAAUAAAUUAUGUAGAGAUGAAAUUCUGGACAUAUAGACCAGCAGUAUAUUAUUUAGAGAAACAAAUUAUCAUUUAUUAACUUCAAGAUUCAAGUUUUAGGGAUUUUCAGUCCAAUAAUUCUUAGUAUAGAUAUUGCCAUGAUUAUCAAAGUGUAGAACCAUGUAAAUUGCUUCAUCAUUGAAUAAGAUUUUAGCUAAAGAUCUGGUCCUGCUAGUAUGUCACUAUCUUCAGAAGAUUCAGUUAAUUCAACAUGUAUGCAUAUAUAAGGACCAAUGAUGUUAGUGUGAUUUAAAUUUCAGUAAUUCAAUUCAUGGGUUUAUUCAUGUCUGGAUUCAUUCAUCGUGAGCAUAUAGGCAUCAUCCAUCUUAGCAAGCCAAUUUCUCUAGAACCCUAGAACUACUAAUUACAAUCCAUAGCAUAGAGUCAUCAAGUUGAUCAUUAGGAUUAGUUUACAAGUAUCAUUAGUGCAUUACAACCAUAAAUCAGUAGUAGAUAAGGGGAAGAACACCUUACUAGUACAACACUAGAGAUCAGGGAAAAGGAGAUAGAAGAGCGAAAUUGAAGUGGUAGCAGCGAUAGGGGCCAGGGGAAAACUUCCCUAAAUCCUUAUCUCGCCGGAGUUGGUCGCCGGUUGCAUCUUAGGUUGAGGAGGCUGGAGGCUAGGGUUAGCAGAAACGAGCUCAUGGGAGCUAGGGGAACCGAUUCGCGGCUGCGGGACAUCUGCUAGAGGGGUCGCCGGAGUGGGGCGCGGCAGCCGGCGCUAGGGAGAGUGACGGCGUCGCCGGCGCUGCCUAGGAAGCGGCGGCGCUGGAGAGAGCGUGAGGGAGAGAAGAGGAGAACGAGGAAAAAGAGAGAAGAGGAAGAAGGUGGUGUAGUGGACUUUUUUGUUGGGCUUCUA
Molecule: long non-coding RNA, 6486 nt
Filed under: Oryza sativa (Asian cultivated rice)
Lineage: Eukaryota; Viridiplantae; Streptophyta; Magnoliopsida; Poales; Poaceae
Description: long non-coding RNA (OSAT_LNC001146)
Source: RNAcentral